This 218-nucleotide non-coding RNA is filed under the name Desulfobulbaceae bacterium. The record is from RNAcentral. Lineage: Bacteria; Pseudomonadati; Thermodesulfobacteriota; Desulfobulbia; Desulfobulbales; Desulfobulbaceae.
GGGUAUAAAGCUGUUGCAGGUGCAUGUAUGUGUUGGAAAAAGGAAAGACGGUGCGACUCCGUCACAAGCCAGUCCUUGCUGUAACCGAAGGCUGCAGCGGCUGGGGCAGAGCCCCAUAUCCUGAUACGUUCAGGAUUCGUCACUGGGAUUUCCGGGAAGACGGUCGCCGUGCAGGAUAAUUCGUAAGUCAGAAAGCCUGCCUGCAACCGUGGACUUUA